Long non-coding RNA from Dermochelys coriacea (leatherback sea turtle), 2253 nucleotides. RefSeq lists it as uncharacterized. The transcript is spliced from 5 exons. The record is from RefSeq and is a predicted model, not a curated record. NCBI's taxonomy places the organism in Eukaryota, Metazoa, Chordata, Testudines, Dermochelyidae.
CUGUUCUUUCCUGCAGACGUGGUACAUGGGAUUUUUAUUUGUCAGAACGGGAUGAAGGGAAAGGACCAUAUCCGCCUAAUGGUGUCUGGCUACCAGUAAAUGGGAGAAGAAAGAAAUAACUUCAGAGAUCAUGAGGGCAUGGAAAGCUUAAUGCCAUCCAUCAGGUUGAUAGCCAGAUUAUACCUGUGUUGAUCAGAUUUGCUGCCCCUUCACUCAUAACCUCUUUGUGCUUGAUGGAUCUCAUGAAAUACUGCCAAAGCAGGCCUUCCAAUGAGGAUGAAGGACAAUGCUCCUCACAGCUCAACAGGCAAAUAACACCAAUGGAUUGUUCUAUCCUGAAGGAUUUUCGAUAGGAAUGCCCCCAGAAGCACUUCACUAGAGACAAGGAAAUCCUGAGGUGCUCUGAGAUGAACAAAGGCCAGUCUGAAUUACCUGAGCCCUGGAGAGACGGAAAGUGCAGAAUGGAGAAAGAGACAGUAAUGGAGGGAUUUCAAAGAACUUUUUAUGGCUAGGUUGUCCAUUCAGAUAGAUGUUAGGUUGAUGCUGACUGAACAUUGUUACCACCUGCUGGUUAUUUAGUGGCCCAUGUCAUUGCAGUUCAGUUCCCAGUGAGCAAAUGUGUAUGUCAGGAAAAAAAAAUUCCCAAUCUAGGACCAUUUGAUGGGCACUAAUUGGCACUCUUUGUAGCGGUAUCAGCCAAGAUGCCAAAGAGCGAAUGGCCUGUGGGGACUUUAUUCAGGAGUUUCUGGGUCCCAAGCCUUUGCCAAUUCCCCCAGCUGAUUCUGUUUCCUCAGCUGAAUGUACUCUAGAGGUGUGGACUUCAUGGUUGGGUUGAGAGACGUUGGGCCUAAUUCCCCAUUGUCGUUUGCACCCGGGCAAAGGAUAGGUAUAAACCAUUACCACAUCAAUUCUCCGCUUGCUCACACUGGCUGCAGAGCUUUACGCCCACUGUUCACAGGCAUAAAUGACAAUGCAAGGUGCAGGGAAGUGGGAAAACAGCCGCAUCGGCUGUGAGAAGAGGAUGUGUAUUUGACUAGGUUGUACCUAUUCUGUGGAUAAACUUCUGUCUCCAGAGCUGUCAAUCCGGAACCUUUCAUCAGCAGUAAAUUCACUUUAGAAAAAUCAAACAGAGAGGCAGAGAGAUUAGUCAGAGUUCUCAAAUGUUUCAAGAAAGUUUAAUGUUGUUAUCUCAGCAGACAGAUAUCCAACUAUUCCUCCACUGGUUGACAUAAGACACAUUUGCUGACAGCGACAUUAUAGAACUCUCUCUCUCUUUCUCGAGUGAGUGAAGGUUAUUAUAUCAUGCUUAAAUUGUAUUUUAAAAACAUGCCAAUCAAACAAUUAAAUUAGAGACAGAUUUUACUCUAUUGGAAACUUUUUGCUGCUUAAUAUAUAAAUUUCCUUGUUCAUUUGGAACCCCCAGACAUCACAUAGCUUCUAGAUUCAGAGCUCCCUCCAGCUCUUUUCUUUCCCUGUGAUUCUCUCAGUUUUACUUAGGAACUAUUGAUCUACCAAGGCUUUUUAAAAAAAAAAUCCCACAAUUUUCUUGGACCACAGAAUUUAACUGACUGGGCUGUAUAUAAAGCAGGCUGCUUGCCAGCUAGACACCCUCGCAUGCUCACCUAAGCAAAUUUUACUCCCCCCGGUGGAGAAAUCAGUCAGUAUCAGGUUUCUGCUAUGUUAUUCGCUAUAUUAUUCAUAUCACCACAGAAGCCAAUAAGGGGCGACUCCAGACUGCCACCAGUGUAGGUCCCCCAGCACAGGAGGGAAGCCAUACAAGGGAGGAUGCACAUUCCCUGUGCAUUGCAAAUCCCAGUUCUGUGCACAAGGCUGAAAUGGGCUGGGGGGAGAAGAGGCUGUCCAAAACUAGGUCAAGGAUGGAGUCAAUCCGUGGCAUCAGCUUCUACAUGGAUCCUUGAUUCUCACCUUCCCUUGGCUCGUGCUGUGCAGCCUGUGGGUCAGCACCAGGGAAAUGUAUCAGCUGAUAGGUAAAAUCCUAUCAUCAGAUCCACCAGGCAGAUCUCAGAUGAGAAGCUUACAGUGGAAGGCUGCAAUAUAUAACUAGGACAUUUUGCAGGAUUUUUCCAUUCUCCAUAUACCCCAUAGUUUAGUUUGGGGCAGAUAUAAUCCUGCUAUAGCAUGUGGCAUGCUAUUUCAAGGAAACAUAUCAUUUCCUCAAGGUCAACCCUCUUGAUUUUCAAUAGAUAAGAACCUCCUCUCUGCAUGUAUUUAUAAUCUUAGACGAGCAAAAUA